GACGAACGCUGGCGGCGUGCUUAACACAUGCAAGUCGAACGGAAAGGCCCUGCUUUUGUGGGGUGCUCGAGUGGCGAACGGGUGAGUAACACGUGAGUAACCUGCCCGUGACUUUGGGAUAACUUCAGGAAACUGGGGCUAAUACCGGAUAGGAGCUCCUGCUGCAUGGUGGGGGUUGGAAAGUUUCGGCGGUUGGGGAUGGACUCGCGGCUUAUCAGCUUGUAGGUGGGGUAGUGGCUUACCAAGGCUUUGGCGGGGAGCCGGCCUGAGAGGGUGACCGGCCACAUUGGGACUGAGGUAGGGCCCAGACUCCUACGGGAGGCAGCGGUGGGGAAUAUUGCACAAUGGGCGGCAGCCUGAUGCAGCGACGCCGCGUGCGGGAUGACGGCCUUCGGGUUGUAAACCGCUUUCGCCUGUGACGAAGCGUGAGUGACGGUAAUGGAUAAAGAAGCACCGGCUAACUACGUG
RNAcentral lists this ribosomal RNA (468 nucleotides) under uncultured bacterium. RNAcentral describes it as "partial 16S ribosomal RNA". It matches the Rfam family "Bacterial small subunit ribosomal RNA", at positions 28 to 507 of the family's 1533-position model. The record is from RNAcentral.